RNAcentral lists this ribosomal RNA (833 nucleotides) under Bacteroides sp. HGA0121. RNAcentral's name for it is "bacterial SSU rRNA". It matches the Rfam family "Bacterial small subunit ribosomal RNA", at positions 56 to 882 of the family's 1533-position model. The record is from RNAcentral. Lineage: Bacteria; Pseudomonadati; Bacteroidota; Bacteroidia; Bacteroidales; Bacteroidaceae.
UGCAGUCGAGGGGCAGCAUGGUCUUAGCUUGCUAAGGCCGAUGGCGACCGGCGCACGGGUGAGUAACACGUAUCCAACCUGCCGUCUACUCUUGGACAGCCUUCUGAAAGGAAGAUUAAUACAAGAUGGCAUCAUGAGUCCGCAUGUUCACAUGAUUAAAGGUAUUCCGGUAGACGAUGGGGAUGCGUUCCAUUAGAUAGUAGGCGGGGUAACGGCCCACCUAGUCUUCGAUGGAUAGGGGUUCUGAGAGGAAGGUCCCCCACAUUGGAACUGAGACACGGUCCAAACUCAUACGGGAGGCAGCAGUGAGGAAUAUUGGUCAAUGGGCGAGAGCCUGAACCAGCCAAGUAGCGUGAAGGAUGACUGCCCUAUGGGUUGUAAACUUCUUUUAUAAAGGAAUAAAGUCGGGUAUGCAUACCCGUUUGCAUGUACUUUAUGAAUAAGGAUCGGCUAACUCCGUGCCAGCAGCCGCGGUAAUACGGAGGAUCCGAGCGUUAUCCGGAUUUAUUGGGUUUAAAGGGAGCGUAGAUGGAUGUUUAAGUCAGUUGUGAAAGUUUGCGGCUCAACCGUAAAAUUGCAGUUGAUACUGGAUAUCUUGAGUGCAGUUGAGGCAGGCGGAAUUCGUGGUGUAGCGGUGAAAUGCUUAGAUAUCACGAAGAACUCCGAUUGCGAAGGCAGCCUGCUAAGCUGCAACUGACAUUGAGGCUCGAAAGUGUGGGUAUCAAACAGGAUUAGAUACCCUGGUAGUCCACACGGUAAACGAUGAAUACUCGCUGUUUGCGAUAUACGGCAAGCGGCCAAGCGAAAGCGUUAAGUAUUCCACCUGGGGAGUA